GAGUAACGCGUGGAUAACGUACCCUAUGGUUGGGGAUAACCCACCGAAAGGUGAGCUAAUACCGAAUGUGUUCCAUAGAAGUUAGCUUUUUUGGAAGAAAGCGGGGCAACCCGCGCCAAAGGAUCGGUCCGCGUUCCAUCAGCUUGUUGGUAGGGUAAUGGCCUACCAAGGCUACGACGGAUAGCUGGUCUGAGAGGAUGAUCAGCCACACUGGGACUGAGACACGGCCCAG
RNAcentral lists this ribosomal RNA (232 nucleotides) under uncultured bacterium. RNAcentral's name for it is "partial 16S ribosomal RNA". It matches the Rfam family "Bacterial small subunit ribosomal RNA", at positions 108 to 334 of the family's 1533-position model. The record is from RNAcentral.